ACGUAGGGGGCGAGCGUUAUCCGGAAUUACUGGGUGUAAAGGGUGCGUAGGCGGUACGGCAAGUUUGAUGUGAAACCCUCGGGCUUAACCCGGGGCAUGCAUCGAAAACUACUGAACUAGAGUGCAGGAGAGGAAAGCGGAAUUCCUAGUGUAGCGGUGAAAUGCGUAGAUAUUAGGAAGAACACCAGUGGCGAAGGCGGCUUUCUGGACUGCAACUGACGCUGAGGCACGAAAGCGUGGGGAGCAAACAG
This 251-nucleotide ribosomal RNA is filed under the name uncultured bacterium. RNAcentral describes it as "partial 16S ribosomal RNA". It matches the Rfam family "Bacterial small subunit ribosomal RNA", at positions 525 to 775 of the family's 1533-position model. The record is from RNAcentral.